Molecule: ribosomal RNA, 309 nt
Filed under: Fomitiporia apiahyna
Lineage: Eukaryota; Fungi; Basidiomycota; Agaricomycetes; Hymenochaetales; Hymenochaetaceae
Description: eukaryotic LSU rRNA
Rfam family: Eukaryotic large subunit ribosomal RNA
Source: RNAcentral
CGUGCUUCGGAUGUUGGCAGAAUGGCUUUAAGCGACCCGUCUUGAAACACGGACCAAGGAGUCUAACAUGCUUGCGAGUGUUCGGGUGGAAAACCCUUGUGCGUAAUGAAAGUGAAAGUUGGGAACCUCCGCAAGGGGGUGCACCGACGCCCGGCCCUGACGUUCUCUGACGGUGCUGCGGUAGAGCAGGUAUGCUAGGACCCGAAAGAUGGUGAACUAUGCCUGAAUAGGGCGAAGCCAGAGGAAACUCUGGUGGAGGCUCGUAGCGAUUCUGACGUGCAAAUCGAUCGUCAAAUUUGGGUAUAGGGG